Non-coding RNA from Ictidomys tridecemlineatus (thirteen-lined ground squirrel), 1251 nucleotides. NCBI's taxonomy places the organism in Eukaryota, Metazoa, Chordata, Mammalia, Rodentia, Sciuridae. The record is from RefSeq and is a predicted model, not a curated record.
GCGUAGCCCUAUUUCCGCCGUCGCGGGCUAAGAAAAGGGAGGUCUGGUCGCGUGCUUGUUCUUUUUUGACAUCCCGCGCGCUCUCUCGCCAUCUCUCGAAAUCCUCAAGCAUCCUGCAACUUCCCCAGCUGUCUGCUCUGUCUCCGCCGCUUCCCGGCGCCAGGGCGUCGGGGUGAGUUUACUGCGAGGCCUCGCUGUGAACGCCUCUCCUGCAGACAUGAAAGCUCUCUCCUGGAUGUUUCUUGCUGGUUCUGCAGCAGCCAGCGCCCUCUUCUCUCUGGAUUCCCUCGGGGGCGUUCAGCCUGCAGGGGGAGGAUGUCCCCGGGUCUGUCCAUCCCAACACACUGCUGCUUUCCUCCCAACAUCUCACCUAGGGACUCCCAGACCCCAAUCAAGUUCUGAAAGUACCUUCUCUGCAGCAGCUCUACAGAGGAGGAAGAAGGUCCUGCUAGACAAGGGAAAAGAGCUCAGAGAAAAGGAAGCAAUGUGACCUGGCGUUCUCAUUCCCUGCUCCAGACCACCUAAACACUGCCAGCCUCGAAGCCUGCAGAGAACAUUCAUUCCAGAGAACCAGAUGGGGCCUUGAUAGAUUGCCCAGAUUGGCCUCGGAACUUUGAGUCCUCCUGCCAGCAUCUCCGAAGUCACUGGGAUUACAGGAUUGUCAGCUGUCCUCUGCCUAGCAGCCCCCUGUCAUUAAGAGGAGGCUGAAAAAGAAAAAAAGGGGAGGCUGGGCUAUGAUGCUCUGAGGUGUGGAUCCUGGAUGCUUCUCCAGAGAGAACAGUGAUGUUCAGCUUCAAGACCAAGGCAAAGGCUGCUUCCUUUUGUUUGCUUCCUCACUGUGGCCUGCAGGGACAUGCUCCCCAAACUCUCCUCCCAUUCUGAGAAGCAGAAGAAGCUUUUGUUAAACACAAUCUUGGUGGGUGCUGUUCAUGGACACCGGAGGGGCAGAGAAUUAAGAGCAAUGUCAUCCUAUGAAGCUUCACUGCCAGCUGUAUGCAGAGAAACGAGGGCCAUGGACAGGAAAGCCCAGCUCCAUCUGUCUGCCUGUAUUUGCAGUAACUUUUUUUUUUAAAGUCAUCGGCUCUAAGUUGAACAGGCUGGCCUUGAGUUUGCCAUCCUCUUGCCUCCGCCUCCUGAGUUGAGUCACUGGCAUAUGCUGUGGUGGCUGGCUCUGGACUUUCCCUUGGUCUUUGUGUUUCUUCCUGUCCCCCUAUCCCCCAUUCAAUAAAUAUUUCCUUUUUUUUUAAUGUU